This is a long non-coding RNA of Lutra lutra (Eurasian river otter), 1303 nucleotides long. RefSeq lists it as uncharacterized. The record is from RefSeq and is a predicted model, not a curated record. NCBI's taxonomy places the organism in Eukaryota, Metazoa, Chordata, Mammalia, Carnivora, Mustelidae. The transcript is spliced from 4 exons.
ACACUGCAAUUGAAAGGUACAAGGCUUUACAAAACCAUAAGGCUACAGAAUUUGGUGAUGUCUUCCUUAAAGAACUGACAAAUGAGGACACUGAGAAAGAUUCCAUUACUUGCUCAAGGUCACACAAAAAACAACCAAAAAAAGGAAGAGUCAGGCUUCAAACCCAUGCAUGCUGGCUCCAGUUCUGUGCUGGAAACUACUCCACUAAAGGCAGGCGCUCCCUCUCCUCAUGAGAGCAGCUCCUUAUGCCACGUAAACAGAACACCUGGCAAACCUGGCCAACCAGUUCACUGCACCUUCCAGGUUAGUCUGCAACCGCAGCCCACUGCAUGGACAUCACACGCUUGAACUGGCUUCAGCCACAAGAAAUUGGCUACAUAUAUUCAGCAAUCCUUACCAUUUUGUUCCUGCGCUGAUGAAAUUGUUCAGAUGGUAACAACACAACCAGUGUUAUUGUCAUCACAAGGAAAGAUGAAAGGGGGAAGAUAAACAUGAAUAAGAGUGGUUACCAAUGCCAAUAUUCUUCCAGACCAAUGCCAGUGCCAAGGAAAUGACUCUUUCUGAUUAGAAAAUAAAUGGAAAUUGAAGAUCUGUCACAAUGUAUCCAGUAGAACUGCACAAAGCAAAAUAAUUCUUCAACUCUGUGAUGAAAGGAUGAGCUCCCUCUGUGAUCAUCACUUCCUGGGAUUGAAGAGUUCAUGGUUGUGUGGUUUGAAAUUAAACUGAGUUCAAAAGUGUGAAUUUUUUUUUUCUAUUUAUCUGUUGAGGGAAGAAAACUGAAAGGACCAUACCAGUAAGAUAAAUUUGUAUGACUAUGCAGCAUAAGUCACCAUUAGUAGCUUAAGUAAGUAACUUCUCAUAUCAUUAUAUUACGUAGAAGUCCAUACAAUUAAAACAGAGACAUUAUUGUGAUUUUAGUCUACAUAUUUUGAUCUUUAGUAUUCUGUUAUAUCAUUAUUAUAUUCAUGUUGCUGAGUAUAUAUGAAAAUUUCCUAAAUGUAUUAUUGGAGGCUAUGACAUAUAGCAGUCAUUGCUAGUUUAUAUAGAAUAUUAAAUAAAAAUAACAGGAAACAGGGAAACAUUUUUAUGGUAAAUUAAGUGGCAGAUGUAAAAAAGAACAUCUUUGUGGCUACUUCCAAGAGUUUAAUACUGAGAUAGAAAAACGUGGUGUUAUUCAUCAAAAACAUAGCAUGUUUAUGGAUGGGUGGGAGAUUACAUGUAUCUCCUCCAACUUUCUGCAAUGGUAAAUACAGGCUAAUAAGAAAUAAUAAAACAAUAACAGCAUGGAUUUCAGAUAGGAAAA